RNAcentral lists this ribosomal RNA (624 nucleotides) under Lactococcus lactis. RNAcentral describes it as "bacterial SSU rRNA". It matches the Rfam family "Bacterial small subunit ribosomal RNA", at positions 93 to 705 of the family's 1533-position model. The record is from RNAcentral. Lineage: Bacteria; Bacillati; Bacillota; Bacilli; Lactobacillales; Streptococcaceae.
GAGCAGCGAACGGGUGAGUAACGCGUGGGGAAUCUGCCUUUGAGCGGGGGACAACAUUUGGAAACGAAUGCUAAUACCGCAUAAAAACUUUAAACACAAGUUUUAAGUUUGAAAGAUGCAAUUGCAUCACUCAAAGAUGAUCCCGCGUUGUAUUAGCUAGUUGGUGAGGUAAAGGCUCACCAAGGCGAUGAUACAUAGCCGACCUGAGAGGGUGAUCGGCCACAUUGGGACUGAGACACGGCCCAAACUCCUACGGGAGGCAGCAGUAGGGAAUCUUCGGCAAUGGACGAAAGUCUGACCGAGCAACGCCGCGUGAGUGAAGAAGGUUUUCGGAUCGUAAAACUCUGUUGGUAGAGAAGAACGUUGGUGAGAGUGGAAAGCUCAUCAAGUGACGGUAACUACCCAGAAAGGGACGGCUAACUACGUGCCAGCAGCCGCGGUAAUACGUAGGUCCCGAGCGUUGUCCGGAUUUAUUGGGCGUAAAGCGAGCGCAGGUGGUUUAUUAAGUCUGGUGUAAAAGGCAGUGGCUCAACCAUUGUAUGCAUUGGAAACUGGUAGACUUGAGUGCAGGAGAGGAGAGUGGAAUUCCAUGUGUAGCGGUGAAAUGCGUAGAUAUAUGGAGGA